GGUGCGUUGUCCGAACGGUCAGGUAACGGUCUGCAAAACCGUUCAAGGCGGUUCGACUCCGCCACGCACCUCCA
Molecule: transfer RNA, 74 nt
Filed under: Prevotella sp.
Lineage: Bacteria; Pseudomonadati; Bacteroidota; Bacteroidia; Bacteroidales; Prevotellaceae
Also listed under: 2 other names
Description: tRNA-Cys
Rfam family: tRNA
About the family: Transfer RNA (tRNA) molecules are approximately 80 nucleotides in length. Their secondary structure includes four short double-helical elements and three loops (D, anti-codon, and T loops).
Source: RNAcentral